Long non-coding RNA from Neofelis nebulosa (Clouded leopard), 746 nucleotides. RefSeq lists it as uncharacterized. The record is from RefSeq and is a predicted model, not a curated record. NCBI's taxonomy places the organism in Eukaryota, Metazoa, Chordata, Mammalia, Carnivora, Felidae. The transcript has 3 exons.
GCCCAGCGGCCUCAUACCCUGAGCUGGUGAGCCAACGUACAAUCUGUUACCUCCAAAAUUGCUAGUUACACAAGGUAAUUAGAUGCCUUUACUAUUUACUAGGUUUUCAGUUACUGGCAGCUUUAUGCUAUAGUAUCAACAGCCCUGUGGAGCAAAUCACAGAUGAAGAGGCUGAAGGACAGAAAAACUUAGCUUCCUCCAAGCCACACAGCCAGGAAGUGACAGACACAUAAUUGCAACCGAAGCCCUUACUCUCUAAUGCUGACCAGAACCCGCUGAAGUGCAAAGCAUGCUGGGAGAACUCAUGGCAUCAAAGGAUGAACUCAACAAGCAGGAAGGCAAGAACCGGGACAGCCUCAGGGCCAACAUCCAAAAAGCACUGUCAAGAGAGUCCAAUUGGUCCCAGAUACCCAUUGUUAGAACUGAAGGGAGCUGGCAGAGGACGAGAUAGAGCCAACAAAUCCCCAGCUGGAAGAGAGAAGAGGCAGUAUACGUCACAGCUGGUGCCGUGGACGGAUUGGAGGGGACAUGGGUGGGUGAGGAGGAGAGCCAGAGGUGGAGACAGAGGGUAAAUGAAAAGGGGAGUAAAGGAGACAAGGUCAGACAAGCAACUGUUUCAAGCUAGGAGAUCACCAGUGAUUUUAAGAUGAUGUAAAGCAGGAACCAUGAAAUGUACUGUUCUCAAUUCUGUCUUCCUGUCAAUAAAACCAGGAGUGCCAGAUAGCAUCUGAGACCAGAUAACCAUA